GACCAAGAUGGCGGCGGUGUCUGGCUUGGUGCGGAGACCCCUUCGGGAGGUCUCCGGGCUGCUGAAGAGGCGCUUUCACUGGACCGCGCCGGCUGCGCUGCAGGUAACAGGCGCGGGUGCUCGUCGGACGAGGGCGGGGAGGGUCCCCCCUUCUCUCGGGAAGGAGGCCGGAGUCGCGCCUGCGCUGUGGCCUUCCGGCGCCGUGGGCCUUGGGUUUGCGGAGCCAGCAUCCUCCGUGGAGCUCCUGCUGCCUCUGUCGCCGCCUGGCAAUUAGCACACCGGCGAGUCACCACCUCACAGCUGGCUGGGCAAUGGGGGAAAACUAAGACUAGGCGUUUCCUCCCUCACUCCAUGUUUUUUUCUUUAAAUUGCAGCAAAAUAGACCUAACUUAAAAUGUACUUUUUAGAAGUGUAUAAUUCAGUGGCAUUAAGUACAUUCACCAUGUUGUACAACCAUUAACCACCAUCCAUUUCCAGAACUUUUUAAUCAUCCCAAGCAGAAACUGUCCAUUACUCGGUAACUCCUCAUUUCCCUUCCCCAAACCCCUGGUAACCCCUGUUGUACUUUUCUGUCUUUAUGAGGUUGCCUAUUCUAGAACUUCUUAUAAGUGGCAUCAUUUGUCCUUUUGUGUCUGGCUUAUCUCAGCGUAAUGUCCUCAAGGUUCAUCCAUGUUGUAGCAUGCGUCAGAGUUUGAUUCUUUCCUAAGGCUGAAUAAUAUAUAUAUGUAUAUUUUUUUGAGAUAGUCUCCCUCUGUCACCCAGGUUGGAGUGCAGUGGCGCGAUCUCAGCUCACUGCAACCUCCACCUCCUGGGCUCAAGGGAUUCUCGCGCCUCACACUCCUGAGUAGCUGUGAUUAGAUGCCGGUGCCACCACACCGGGCUAAUUUUUGUAUUUUUAGUACAGACAGGGUCUCACCAUAUUGCCCAGGCUGGUCUUGAACUCCUGGCCUCAAGUGAUCUGCCUGCCUUGGCCUCCCAAAGUGCUAGGAUUACAGGCAUGAGCCACCUCGCUCAGCCCGACAUUUUCUUUUUUUUUUUUGAGACGGAGUUUUGCUCUUGCUGCCCAGGCUAGAGUGCAGUGGCACUAUCUCAGCUCACUGCAAUCUCUGCCUCCUGGGUUCAAGCAAUUCUGCCUCAGCCUCCCGAGUAGCUGGGAUUACAGGCACCCGCCACCACACCCGGCCAAUUUUUGUAUUUUUAGUAGAGAAUGGGUUUCACCAUGUUGGCCAGGGUGGUCUCGAACUCCUGACCUCAAGUGAUCCACCUGCCUUGGCCUCCCAGAGUGCUGGAAUUACAGGUGUGAGCCACCGUGCCUGGCCUUGUUUUGUCUAUUGUGAGUAAUGCUGCUGUGAACAUUGAUGUGCAAGUAUAUGCUUGAAUCCCUGCUUUCAAUUAUUUGGGGCAUAUACAUAGAAGUGGAAUUGAUGGAUUGUAUGUUAAUUCUCCUCUCCUUCCUUUUUUUAACUAGAUUUUACCAUUCAUUAUAUUAAAAGAGCAACUCCUACAUUCUGGAUGCAAAGUAUUUGGCAGUACUUGGCACCUAGUGAGCACUCAGUACAUUAACACAUGCAAAGACCAACUAUGUGUAAUAGAAAUGUUACUUUUAGAAUUCUUUGAGUUUUUAGAGAGAAGCUUGUUCUAGUGUUUUUAUAUUGUAUGCUGUGGGCAGCCUAGGUAAAUAUAAAGGAAGAAAAUCUUAGUUGAAUCCCAAACAAUUCUGUAUUGACUGUUUUUGCAUACCUGUGACAGGUGACAGUUCGUGAUGCUAUAAAUCAGGGUAUGGAUGAGGAGCUGGAAAGAGAUGAGAAGGUAUUUCUGCUUGGAGAAGAAGUUGCCCAGUAUGAUGGGGCAUACAAGGUUAGUCGAGGGCUGUGGAAGAAAUAUGGAGACAAGAGGAUUAUUGACACUCCCAUAUCAGAGGUAAGCCUUCCAGUGGGAAGCAGACCCUGGAGGGCAUGUCUGUUAGUGUCCAUUAUCCUCAUUUUUAUGGAUUUUCACUUAUGUUUAUAUUUUACUUUAUAGAUGGGCUUUGCUGGAAUUGCUGUAGGUGCAGCUAUGGUAUGUAAUACUCUUUAUGAAACUUAUCCAAAGACAUUUCUUGUUUUCUUUUUUUUUCUUUUGAGACAGAGUCUCACUCUGUUGUCCAGCCUGGAGUGCACUGGCACCAUCUCAGCUUCCAGGUUCAAGCAAUUCUCCUGCCUCAGCCUCCAUAGUGGCUGGGGUUACAGGUCGCGCCACUGUGCCUAGCCAAUUUUUGUGUUUUUAGUAGAGAUGGGGUUUUACCAUGUUGGCCAGGCUGGUCUUGAACUCCUGGCCUCAAGUGAUCCGACCGCCUUGGCCUCCCAAAGUGCUGGGAUUACAGGCGUGAGCCACUGUGCCCAUCCCCAAAGAGAUUUAACAUCACCUUUUAAAAACAUCAUUUGGGAAAAAAAAAAAAUACCAAGUAGGUAGAUGUGGUGGUGCUUGCCUGCAGUCCCAGCUACUCGGGAUGCUGAGGAAGGAUUACUUGAGCCUAGGAGUUAGAGGCUGCAGUGAGCUAUGAUGUGUGCCACUGCACUCCAGCAUGGGUGACAGUGAGACCCUGUCCAUAAAAAAUAAAAAUAAAAAAUAAAAACAUUAUUUGAAUGUUGGAAGACUUGGAGUGAUUUGUUUGCUACUGUUUGUUGCUGUUUCUAGUCUUUUUAACAUCCACGUUUUUGAUUUUACAGGCUGGGUUGCGGCCCAUUUGUGAAUUUAUGACCUUCAAUUUCUCCAUGCAAGCCAUUGACCAGGUUAUAAACUCAGCUGCCAAGACCUACUACAUGUCUGGUGGCCUUCAGCCUGUGCCUAUAGUCUUCAGAGGGCCCAAUGGUGCCUCAGCAGGUGUAGCUGCCCAGCACUCACAGUGCUUUGCUGCCUGGUAUGGGCACUGCCCAGGCUUAAAGGUGGUCAGUCCCUGGAAUUCAGAGGAUGCUAAAGGACUUAUUAAAUCAGCCAUUCGGGAUAACAAUCCAGUGGUGGUGCUAGAGAAUGAAUUGAUGUAUGGGGUUCCUUUUGAAUUUCCUCCGGAAGCUCAGUCAAAAGAUUUUCUGAUUCCUAUUGGAAAAGCCAAAAUAGAAAGGCAAGGUAAGAAAACUAAGAUAUAUAAACAGUAUUUUUAAUCCAGCCCCUCAAUUUUGGUAAAAUUUAAUCUAGAAGUUACUGUCAUUUACUUUGACUGAAAAAUUAUAGGAUGAGCUCAAGAUGCCCCAAUUUCUCAUUCAGUUGUGCUUUUCUAGAUCUCAGUCUGGUAGGUUUGUGUUUCAUUUCUAGGAAGGCUGCCACAUUCCUCAGCUCACUGGAAUGAAGUUGAAUUGAAGACUUUAUGAAUGAACAAGAGCCACAGCUGGCGGCACAGUGGUGUAGCAUCUUCAGUUUCAACCUGAUCUCUGAUCUGUGACCACUCUGUUUUCAGGAACACAUAUAACUGUGGUUUCCCAUUCAAGACCUGUGGGCCACUGCUUAGAAGCUGCAGCAGUGCUAUCUAAAGAAGGAGUUGAAUGUGAGGUGAUAAAUAUGCGUACCAUUAGACCAAUGGACAUGGAAACCAUAGAAGCCAGUGUCAUGAAGACAAAUCAUCUUGUAACUGUGGAAGGAGGCUGGCCACAGUUUGGAGUAGGAGCUGAAAUCUGUGCCAGGAUCAUGGAAGGUAUUUCAAAGAAACUGGUUCUAGAAUACAGUCAAGCUAUAGUAAACAUCAUGUACCUGAAUACGUACAGGAUAAAGAGAUUGAAAGCUAGGAGUGGCCAAACGACUUCAACUUUAAACUUGUAAGUUUGGCAUUUCUCUUCAGGCAGAUAUUUUUAAAAGCAAAUCCAGAAAGCGGUUCCCCAUAAUUAGCAUUCCUUACAUUUUCUCUUCCUGGUCAGCCACACCUCUGUGCCAAGGUGGUAGUGCCCAGCUGGCAUUUGCACUCUCUCAGUUGAGCCUUCCUUCUCCUAGGUCCUGCGUUCAAUUUCCUGGAUGCUCCUGCUGUUCGUGUCACUGGUGCUGAUGUCCCUAUGCCUUAUGCAAAGAUUCUAGAGGACAACUCUAUACCUCAGGUCAAAGACAUCAUAUUUGCAAUAAAGAAAACAUUAAAUAUUUAGUUUGGACUUGAAUAUCAAGUCGUUGAAAUUUAUUUGAAAUACUUGCUGGCACUGCACCUGGAUUUGUACUGCAAGACCUGACUAUUCAUAACGGAAAACGAUUUCUAAAGCAACAGCAGGUAUUUUUGUACAGGGAAGUUUAAAUGUGUUUGUGUAUGGAAAACUCUCCACUCUCCUCCCCUAGAUGCCAUGCUUCCUUUUGUCUGUUACGGUUGCCAUGUUCUUUGAAUAACAAAUUAUAUAACAUUUUAUCCUCUCUCACCACAAGGACAAAGUAUGGAUGUGGCAGAGUCCUCAUGAAAGAUGUAUCCAAACAAGAUAACUUAUAUGUAUAAAAUUAAAGCAUAUAAUAU
This 4459-nucleotide long non-coding RNA is filed under the name Homo sapiens (human). RNAcentral's name for it is "non-protein coding lnc-ACOX2-2:2". Lineage: Eukaryota; Metazoa; Chordata; Mammalia; Primates; Hominidae. The record is from RNAcentral.